RNAcentral lists this ribosomal RNA (205 nucleotides) under uncultured bacterium. RNAcentral describes it as "partial 16S ribosomal RNA". It matches the Rfam family "Bacterial small subunit ribosomal RNA", at positions 336 to 554 of the family's 1533-position model. The record is from RNAcentral.
CUCCUACGGGAGGCAGCAGUGGGGAAUAUUGGGCAAUGGGGGAAACCCUGACCCAGCAACGCCGCGUGAAGGAAGAAGGCUUUCGGGUUGUAAACUUCUUUUACCAGGGACGAAGAAAGUGACGGUACCUGGAGAAAAAGCCACGGCUAACUACGUGCCAGCAGCCGCGGUAAUAACGUAGGUGGCAAGCGUUGUCCGGAUUUAC